RNAcentral lists this ribosomal RNA (497 nucleotides) under uncultured bacterium. RNAcentral describes it as "partial 16S ribosomal RNA". It matches the Rfam family "Bacterial small subunit ribosomal RNA", at positions 28 to 507 of the family's 1533-position model. The record is from RNAcentral.
GAUGAACGCUGGCGGCGUGCCUAAUACAUGCAAGUCGAGCGAACAGACGAGGAGCUUGCGCCGUUGACGUUAGCGGCGGACGGGUGUGUAACAUGUGGAUAACCUACCUAUAAGUCUGGUAAAACCUCGGAAAACCGGAGCAAAUACCGUAGAAGAUAUUGAACCGCAGGGGUGAAUAGUGAAAGACGGUUGUGGGGGCUCUUAUAGAUGGAUCCGCGCCGCAUGAGGUAGUUGGUAGGGUAACGGCCUACCAAGGCAACGAGGCGUAGCCGACGUGAGAGGGUGGUCGGCCACACGGGAACUGGGACACGGUCCAGACUCCUACGGGAGGCAGCAGUAGGGAAUCUUCCGCAAUGGGCGAAAGCUUUACGGAGCAAGGCCGCGUGUGUGAUGAAGGUCUUCGGAUCGUAAAGCCCUGUUAUUAGGGAAAAACAAAUGUGUACGUAACUAUGCACGUCUUGACGGUACCUAAUCAGAAAGCCACGGCUAACUACGUG